Motacilla alba alba is the source of this 4680-nucleotide RNA transcript. RefSeq lists it as uncharacterized. NCBI's taxonomy places the organism in Eukaryota, Metazoa, Chordata, Aves, Passeriformes, Motacillidae. The transcript is spliced from 4 exons. The record is from RefSeq and is a predicted model, not a curated record.
GAGGGAGGGUUAGCGAAGAAAGGGGGAAUGGAGGAGGGAGGUACGGAGGAGGCAAGCCGGAGGGGCAGGCAGGAGAGAAGGAGAAGAAAGGGGGCAUAAGAGGAAGCAGCACGGAUGGGCGGAGGGGCAGCGAGAGAAGAGCGGGCCCUUACAUAGGUUGCGUUUGGACAGAGAGAGACGAGAGGCCAGCAGCUGCAAACAGCAGAGACAGUAAAGACAUGGUGGCUUCACAAAACUCAACUUUAAAGAAUUUGGUGAUGGCAUAGCAUUACUGAUCAGACAGAACCUGGACCAGAGCCACAGUGGAAAUCGUGUACUUGGCAAGCAAGCCCCUUCGGCAUUGUUCCACAUGAUCCCAAGUGAACCAAGCAAGAGGUAUUUGACCUACUUGGAUUCUGUGGAAAAUAUCUAUUGACAACACCAGGGGAACUUGAGCAAUGAUUUCUUUUGUAGCAUCCUCUCUUGGCAAAUGCAUCAGCCUGGGGAACCUCAGACAGCGCAGGACUGGAUUAAGAAUCCCGCCUUCAGGAAGACAAAUAGCAAAAAUGAAUGCUUCAGUUCUGAUUGCCAUGGCCCUAGCUUCUCCAGGCCUGAAACACAAAACUUCCCUUGCUUGUACUGCAUUCAAUUGUACCUGAUUCUCACUCACCUGAUGAUCUCCUAGGAUUUUCUCAUGUCAUUACUGUGUUGCAGUUACUAUGAGAAAGCAGGUAUGUCUCAGGCACUGAAUCAAACGCUUAUUCUGAGCAGGAUUUAUGUGACUCUAGACAGGGCCCAUGCACUCUGCACCCUGCUACCAUAUCAGCUUUGACUAUUGGAUGACAUUGUAUCAGACAUUGUGAAAGUGAGUUUUUAGCUUGGGAAGGGAAAGUGAAAUCUACCUGACAUUACUCAAGACAUCAGACUUUGUUUCUUGUCACAGUAACAGGUGAUCCUUGCAAUUCAGGACUUCAGCAUAUCCAAGGACACUGUGUGGAAACUGACUUCAGGACAUUCACUUGGAAGCUUCCCCUACCAGGUCAAAAAUGCGUUUUUCCAACACCCAGGAUCAUGUCACCCAGCACAGAGAUAAUCUGCAUACCUUAAGGGAAUGAUAAUUGUCUUCUGUAUUCUUUUCUAUGCCAAAUCUAUCACAAGUUUGAAAACUAAAAUUAAGUCUUUCCUGAAGUAUGUUUGAAUUCAGGGAGUUACUUGAUUCUGCUUGUCAUUGCUAUGAAGAAUUUUUGGCUUCUCUCCUCCCGUCCCAAGCUUCUGUGAAGUGUAAGUCUCUGCAGACAUCUUGCCUUCUCCUUUCUACCAAGCCAGAGAGCCCCUGUUGGCUAAGUGUGUGACAUACCCUACCAUCAUCAGUACUAGAUUAAGUAGGGAAGGAAUAACCUUGAGAUGUAGUUCCUUCUGAUGAGGAGAUAGUUAUUCUUAAAUAUGUUAAAAAAAAAAGUUAUCUGUAAGCUAUCUGUAGAAUAAAGUCUGACUUAAAAUCAAGGACUUUUCUUUGAGGUAGACAAGUACACAUAGCCAGUGACCACUUGAAAGUAAUUAAAUCAGUAACUGAAAAGGCCUUAGUGAAGGUUGCCAAUGGAUGAGCUCAUGAGCUUGACUGCCAGGGUGCAGGGUGCAGGCACAGUCCCCGAUGGCCCUGAUGGGUCAGUCUGUUGAUCUCAGUGUGCUGGGAGCUUGAGGGAUCAUAGUCUUCUUGUGUCAGCGUGGCCCGGAGAGAGCAGCAGGAUGCAGAGAUGCCACACACCUCCAUCUAUCACCUAACCCUAGCGUUGUCUUCCGUGGUUGUUACAAAAAUUUGCAACACAGUGACUUCUUCCUUUUGAUCUAGAGCCUGGAGAUCUCGUGGAUGUGGUGGUUUAACCCCAGCCAGCAAGUUCCUGCCUGCUACUCUGCCUUCCCUGUACUCCUCUUGACUUGUGGAGAUUGGUCCUCAGUGAUCUGAUGGCUUCUGUGGUGGGUCUGAGGGUAGCCCAACAGGAUAUAAUUUGGGUUCCCCAUCCUUCCACUGUCUCUCUGAGCAUCCUUGUGGGUGUGCAGGUGAGCUUUAUGACACAACUGAAUAGCUCUUCUGCCACAGAUAGCAGUCCAGAUAAUAAUAAGAAGGAAAAACUAACAAAAAACCCAAACCACCACUCCUCCACCAAAUAGUUGUAACCUUUCAAUUGUAACUGAUUUUUGUUAGUGAAAUUUAAACCCCUCUGGAGGAAAGCACCCAUUUGCUGUUGGCCUUAUAAGUACACGUAUUUGAUACUGUGAGUUGUGGGAGAUGAUUUCUGGAAUCUGUUCCUUCCUCAUUUAUAAGGAAAAAAAAUCAGAAAAACAGUGAAGAAAAUGUGCCAUUUUACAUUGGUCAUACUUUUCGGUUUCUUUCGUGUUUUCUUUUUACCUUGUUUUUGAUGAUGAUGGAAAUAUAAGAAGUGGUUUCUUUUUUGUAAAGAGCUUCAUGUAGAUUGCCAAGACUCACUUCCAAAGAGUUGAAAGUCAUGUUCUAAUCAUUACAAAAUUCUUCUCUUUUUAUCAAGCUUCAGUUAUUAUGUGUGUUUAAAAAAGGGAGUUGCUUUUGGAUACUCCUUGGAAUUACGUGGUGUUCAAAGAAGCUGCUGCUAAGAAAUUGCAGAGUUCAAGUUUUUCUUCUUAGCAGAAGAAUGUGGCCAUGAACAGCUCUCCAUCUGCCUUAGAAGAACACCUUCAUUUAUAGCUGUAUAUUUAAAUUUAUAUUUUAGAGCACAGACAAAGUUGCCUGGCAUGAAAGACAGCUUUCCUAGGCAGCGGAUUUAUUGUACAUUGAAAUAAGCAGCUCACAGAAGUGGACAGAACCAAUCUGACAUCAUGCAGCCUGUUCAUGUUAGUCUUCACAUGAAGAACUACUAAAGAGUUGUAAUGUCAGAGUUCUGUCUCUUGUAACAGUGGAUAACAACUCUGCACUGGCUAGAUGCCUUCUGCUGCUCUCUGAGCUGAACAGGAAAUCUAAUUUAUCUCAUGUGGUUUCCUGAUGAAAUAUAUACUGGCAAUGACAAACGUAUGAGCACUGCUAAAUUCAGUUGCUGAAUUCAGAUAGUGAAAGAUAUCUUCUGGGUUUUUUUGUUUUGUCUUUUUUUUCCUACAAUGAAACAUUAAACUUGCCAAACAAAUGACUAAAGGUCAACAUAAAAUAUAAUAUGGAAAUUGCUUCUUUCUUUAGUUACCUGAAAAAUAAUAACUAAAAUAUAAUUAAGAGAGAGAGAGAGAUUUCUGGUUUAAUGUGUAUAUUUUACAUAUCAAAAAAUGGAAGAUAUUCUCACUGAAGUAACAUCUAUCCUGAAGCUUCACAAGGGCACCUCACAGCUCCCGAGUAAGCUCUGCAUUAGUGCUUAUCUGAGAUGACUAAAGAGCAUGAAUGAAAUGCCAAACUCUUUGGGUACCAUUAAGUCUCCCUCUUUGGGAAGGUAUGCAUUCAGUCACUAGGGAGAGAAAACAGCCAGACAGUGAAAACAGCCAGACAGUGGCUGCUGAAACCACACAGUGGUGCAGGUGAAAUAUUUGGCUAUGAACAGCUAAACUAUUUAGUCAGUAAUAAUUUUUAUUCUAAGUAGAAUUCCCUGGUCAACAUCCAAAUGCUGACACUAGCUGUUUUUCCUGGUUCAAACAGAGAGUGAGAAGGGGAACAACUGGGAUAACCACAGUCAAACCUGACACCUUCUGUUUCAUGUGAUCAGUAAAUACUUUGUGCAAAGUAAAGCUGACAUAGCUGGCACAGCAAAGCAGGUAGCAGCUCUAGAAGCAAAAAACUGGCACUCUGGAGCUUAUGCCAGUUUGAUCCCUUCUGCUAUUCUGUAUCACAGGACAUAUUGUAGAUUCUUUAUUUUCUACUCUUAUUUAAAAAAAAAAUUUGUUUUACAGAGUUUGUAAUCUCCAAUUUUUAGUUACAGAAAGACUCUAGAAACAUUUAACAUCUGUGCUUUCUCUAAGUUUGCUUGUUCUUGACAAUGCUUGUCUCAGAAAAACCACAAUCUUUCAAAUCAUGGUGGUCUAUACUGAUCUCACUGGUCAUUGCAGCACUAGCCAUUAGCAAACACAAUUCUACACUAUCUAAUUAAAUUCUUCUGGGUUUGGCAUUUAGUUUUGUGGGCUGAUUCACAGCAAUGUACUUACUUGUGCUGGGUUCAUAUACAGCUGUGUGGCUUCACAACUGCCAUUAGCCAAUUUGAGAAGGUACUCUUCCAAAAAGAAUGAUUCUUCUUUUUGCCCAGGUGUGCAUCACCAUUGAUUUCCUUGUGGUUGUACCGGUGUGGCCAUGGAGCAACUCAGAGAAACACACUUAACCCAACUGGAAAAAAACAGUCACACAAAAGGUAUUUUCUCAGCUCAGCUGUUUCAGCUGACUGUGGUGAUGAAGCAGCACAUCCCCAACACAAAGGGAAGGUGAGAAGAUGUGGCCAGACACAAACUAGAAUUGCACCCUUUCAGCAGCAGUGGAGAUCAGCUACAAGAGGUGUGACACCUUUCCUUCGCUGUGGGGUUAGCAGAACACCUUUACACCUAUUCUCUUUGCUUUCAUGAGGCCCCUUCUUCUUUCUCACCUUUGUAAGAGGCUCAGCAAUGCUGUCAGGCUGUGCUUGUAUCAUAGCUGGAAAGAGAGGCAUGCUGUUUGGACUCCUGAGCUGCCUUUGCUGGCAGCAGAACCCACACGAACACCUUAUA